UACGGGGGGGGCUAGCGUUGUUCGGAAUUACUGGGCGUAAAGGGCUCGUAGGUGGCCAACUAAGUCAUGCGUGAAAUCCCUCGGCUUAACCGGGGAACUGCGUCUGAUACUGGAUGGCUUGAAUCCGGGAGAGGGAUGCGGAAUUCCAGGUGUAGCGGUGAAAUGCGUAGAUAUCAGGAGGAACACCAGCGGCGAAGGCGGUGCUCUGGGCCGGAACUGACGCUGAGGAGCGAAAGUGUGGGGAGCGAACAGG
This 253-nucleotide ribosomal RNA is filed under the name uncultured bacterium. Its description in RNAcentral is "partial 16S ribosomal RNA". It matches the Rfam family "Bacterial small subunit ribosomal RNA", at positions 524 to 776 of the family's 1533-position model. The record is from RNAcentral.